RNAcentral lists this ribosomal RNA (362 nucleotides) under uncultured bacterium. RNAcentral describes it as "partial 16S ribosomal RNA". It matches the Rfam family "Bacterial small subunit ribosomal RNA", at positions 338 to 697 of the family's 1533-position model. The record is from RNAcentral.
CCUACGGGUGACAGCAGUGAGGAAUAUUUGUCAAUGGGCGCAAGCCUGAACCAGCCAUGCCGCGUGCAGGAAGACGGCUCUAUGAGUUGUAAACUGCUUUUAUACGGGGGUAAACGCAGAUACGCGUACCUGUCUGAAAGUAUCGUACGAACAAGGAUCGGCUAACUCCGUGCCAGCAGCCGCGGUAAUCCGGAGGGUUCAAGCGUUAUCCGGAUUUAUUGGGUUUAAAGGGUGCGUAGGCGGUCUGAUAAGUUAGAUGUGAAAGCCGGGGGCUCAACUUCGGAAUUGCAACUGAUACUGGUCGGCUAGAGAAUAGUUGCGGUAGGCGGAAUGCAUGGUGUAGCGGUGAAAUGCUUAGAGAU